This 685-nucleotide ribosomal RNA is filed under the name Bacillus subtilis. Its description in RNAcentral is "bacterial SSU rRNA". It matches the Rfam family "Bacterial small subunit ribosomal RNA", at positions 70 to 739 of the family's 1533-position model. Lineage: Bacteria; Bacillati; Bacillota; Bacilli; Caryophanales; Bacillaceae. The record is from RNAcentral.
AGAUGGGAGCUUGCUCCCUGAUGUUAGCGGCGGACGGGUGAGUAACACGUGGGUAACCUGCCUGUAAGACUGGGAUAACUCCGGGAAACCGGGGCUAAUACCGGAUGCUUGUUUGAACCGCAUGGUUCAAACAUAAAAGGUGGCUUCGGCUACCACUUACAGAUGGACCCGCGGCGCAUUAGCUAGUUGGUGAGGUAAUGGCUCACCAAGGCAACGAUGCGUAGCCGACCUGAGAGGGUGAUCGGCCACACUGGGACUGAGACACGGCCCAGACUCCUACGGGAGGCAGCAGUAGGGAAUCUUCCGCAAUGGACGAAAGUCUGACGGAGCAACGCCGCGUGAGUGAUGAAGGUUUUCGGAUCGUAAAGCUCUGUUGUUAGGGAAGAACAAGUACCGUUCGAAUAGGGCGGUACCUUGACGGUACCUAACCAGAAAGCCACGGCUAACUACGUGCCAGCAGCCGCGGUAAUACGUAGGUGGCAAGCGUUGUCCGGAAUUAUUGGGCGUAAAGGGCUCGCAUGCGGUUCCUUAAGUCUGAUGUGAAAGCCUCCGGCUCAACCGGGGAGGGUCAUUGGAAACUGGGGAACUUGAGUGCAUAAUAGGAGAGUGGAAUUCCACGUGUAGCGGUGAAAUGCGUAGAGAUGUGUAGGAACACCAGUGGCGAAGGCGACUCUCUGGUCUGUAA